RNAcentral lists this ribosomal RNA (790 nucleotides) under uncultured archaeon. RNAcentral's name for it is "bacterial SSU rRNA". It matches the Rfam family "Archaeal small subunit ribosomal RNA", at positions 85 to 876 of the family's 1478-position model. The record is from RNAcentral.
ACUGCUCAGUAACACGUGGACAACCUACCCUCAGCACGGGGAUAAACCCGGGAAACUGGGUAUAAUACCCGAUAGUUCUGGGAAGCUGGAAUGCUCCCAUGACGAAAGCUCCGGCGACUGAGGAUGGGUCUGCGGCCUAUCAGGUAGUAGUGGGUGUAAUGUACCUACUAGCCUACGACGGGUACGGGUCGUGAGAGCGAGAGCCCGGAGAUGGAUUCUGAGACACGAAUCCAGGCCCUACGGGGUGCAGCAGGCGCGAAAACUUUACAAUGCUGGCAACAGCGAUAAGGGGACCUCGAGUGCCAGGAUACAAUCUUGGCUGUCGCGAUGCCUAAAAAGCAUUGCAUAGCAAGGGCCGGGCAAGACCGGUGCCAGCCGCCGCGGUAACACCGGCGGCUCGAGUGGUAACCGCUAUUAUUGGGUCUAAAGGGUCCGUAGCCGGUUUGGUCAGUCCUCCGGGAAAUCUGACGGCUUAACCGUUAGGCUUUCGGGGGAUACUGCCAGGCUUGGAACCGGGAGAGGUAAGAGGUACUACAGGGGUAGGAGUGAAAUCUUGUAAUCCCUGUGGGACCACCUGUGGCGAAGGCGUCUUACCAGAACGGGUUCGACGGUGAGGGACGAAAGCUGGGGGCACGAACCGGACUAGAUACCCGGGUAGUCCCAGCCGUAAACGAUGCUCGCUAGGUGUCAGGCAUGGCGCGACCGUGUCUGGUGCCGCAGGGAAGCCGUGAAGCGAGCCACCUGGGAAGUACGGCCGCAAGGCUGAAACUUAAAGGAAUUGGCGGGGGAG